GAUGAACGCUGGCGGCGUGCCUAAUACAUGCAAGUCGAGCGAACAGAUAAGGAGCUUGCUCCUUUGACGUUAGCGGCGGACGGGUGAGUAACACGUGGGUAACCUACCUAUAAGACUGGGAUAACUUCGGGAAACCGGAGCUAAUACCGGAUAACAUUUGGAACCGCAUGGUUCUAAAGUGAAAGAUGGUUUUGCUAUCACUUAUAGAUGGACCCGCGCCGUAUUAGCUAGUUGGUAAGGUAACGGCUUACCAAGGCAACGAUACGUAGCCGACCUGAGAGGGUGAUCGGCCACACUGGAACUGAGACACGGUCCAGACUCCUACGGGAGGCAGCAGUAGGGAAUCUUCCGCAAUGGGCGAAAGCCUGACGGAGCAACGCCGCGUGAGUGAUGAAGGGUUUCGGCUCGUAAAACUCUGUUAUUAGGGAAGAACAAACGUGUAAGUAACUGUGCACGUCUUGACGGUACCUAAUCUGAAAGCCACGGCUAACUACGUG
Molecule: ribosomal RNA, 497 nt
Filed under: uncultured bacterium
Lineage: Bacteria
Description: partial 16S ribosomal RNA
Rfam family: Bacterial small subunit ribosomal RNA
Source: RNAcentral